CACGUAGGGGGCAAGCGUUGUCCGGAUUCAUUGGGCGUAAAGAGCGUGUAGGCGGCCAGGUAGGUCGGUUGUGAAAACUGGAGGCUCAACCUUCAGAGGUCGACCGAAACCAUCUGGCUAGAGUCCGGGAGAGGAGAGUGGAAUUCCUGGUGUAGCGGUGAAAUGCGCAGAUAUCAGGAAGAACACCCGUGGCGAAAGCGGCUCUCUGGAACGGUACUGACGCUGAGACGCGAAAGCGUGGGGAGCGAACAGG
RNAcentral lists this ribosomal RNA (253 nucleotides) under uncultured bacterium. RNAcentral describes it as "partial 16S ribosomal RNA". It matches the Rfam family "Bacterial small subunit ribosomal RNA", at positions 524 to 776 of the family's 1533-position model. The record is from RNAcentral.